UGUCGUCAUCUUCUCUAAGCAGCAAUGUUUUCAGUAUGAAAAUGAUGAACUAAGGCGCCGUAAUCAUGAGGAUCCUCUCUACAAUGAAGAUGAACAAGACGAAGCACCUGCCUUUAAAAGACGUCGAUUCAAUGAUGUUAAACCAUUAGGGUAAUUUAGCUUAUAAUAUUUUUAAUAUGUUUUAUAUAUAAAACGUGUUUAUGUUGUUAAAUUUUAUAAAAUCA
This is a long non-coding RNA of Nicrophorus vespilloides, 224 nucleotides long. RefSeq lists it as uncharacterized. The record is from RefSeq and is a predicted model, not a curated record. Lineage: Eukaryota; Metazoa; Arthropoda; Insecta; Coleoptera; Silphidae. The transcript has 4 exons.